AGAGUUUGAUCAUGGCUCAGGACGAACGGCUGGCGGCGUGCUUUAGACAUGCAAGUCGAACGAGAUCUUCGGAUCUAGUGGCGAACGGCGGAGUAAUACAUAAACAACGUGCCCUGAAGACUGGGAUAUACGGUCGAAAGGCCGAGCAAUACCGGAUGUGGCCGAGACUAGGCAUCUAGACUCGAUUAAAUGGUUUUCGCUUCAGGAGCGGUUUAUGACUCAUCAGCUAGUUGGUAGGGUAAUGGCCUACCAAGGCUACGACGGGUAGGGGGUCUGAGAGGAUGAUCCCCCCGAGUGGGACUGAGACACGGCCCACACACCUACGGGUGGCAGCAGUUUGGAAUCUUGCCCAAUGGGGAAACCCUGAGGCAGCGACGCCGCGUGGAGGAUGAAGGAUUUAGGUCUGUAAACUCCUUUUGCCAGGAAAGACUUAGGACGGUACCUGGCGAAUAAGCUCCGGCUAACUACGUG
This 471-nucleotide ribosomal RNA is filed under the name uncultured bacterium. RNAcentral describes it as "bacterial SSU rRNA". It matches the Rfam family "Bacterial small subunit ribosomal RNA", at positions 8 to 507 of the family's 1533-position model. The record is from RNAcentral.